AGAUUGAACGCUGGCGGCAGGCCUAACACAUGCAAGUCGAGCGGCAGCACGGGUACUUGUACCUGGUGGCGAGCGGCGGACGGGUGAGUAAUGCCUAGGAAUCUGCCUGGUAGUGGGGGAUAACGCUCGGAAACGGACGCUAAUACCGCAUACGUCCUACGGGAGAAAGCGGGGGACCUUCGGGCCUCGCGCGAAACGAUGAGCCUGCGUCCUAUCAGGUAGUUGGUGAGGUAAUGGCUCACCAAGCCGACGACGGGUAGCUGGUCUGAGAGGACGACCAGCCACACUGGGACUGAGACACGGCCCAGACUCCUACGGGAGGCAGCAGUGGGAAUAUUGGACAAUGGGGGAAACCCUGAUCCAGCAAUACCGCGUGUGUGAAGAAGGCCUCGGUUGUAAAGCGACUUUUAGCAGGAAAGAAGACUAUGACGCUAAUACCGCACUGUUUUGACGUUACUUGCAGAAAAGCACGACUAACUCCGUGCCAGCAAGCCGCGGUAAU
This 502-nucleotide ribosomal RNA is filed under the name uncultured soil bacterium. RNAcentral's name for it is "bacterial SSU rRNA". It matches the Rfam family "Bacterial small subunit ribosomal RNA", at positions 26 to 524 of the family's 1533-position model. The record is from RNAcentral.